This 660-nucleotide ribosomal RNA is filed under the name Triticum aestivum (bread wheat). Its description in RNAcentral is "partial small subunit ribosomal RNA". Lineage: Eukaryota; Viridiplantae; Streptophyta; Magnoliopsida; Poales; Poaceae. The record is from RNAcentral.
AUGGACUCUUCUUCCUCGUCGACGGCGUCGUCUUCCCAGGCGCAGGCGCAGCCGGACUUCGACUACCUGUUCAAGCUCCUCCUCAUCGGCGACUCCGGCGUGGGGAAGAGCAGCCUGCUCCUCCGAUUCACAUCGGACUCCUUCGAGGACCUAUCCCCGACCAUCGGCGUCGACUUCAAGGUGAAGAUGGUCAACAUUGCCGGCAAGAAGCUCAAGCUCGCCGUCUGGGACACCGCUGGACAGGAACGAUUUAGGACCUUGACCAGCUCUUACUACAGAGGGGCACAAGGGAUCAUCAUGGUGUACGAUGUUACUCGCCGAGAAACAUUCACGAAUCUCUCUGACAUAUGGGCCAAGGAAAUUGACCUGUAUUCGACAAACCAGGACUGUAUAAAGAUGCUUGUCGGAAACAAAGUGGACAAGGAAAGUGAGAGGGCUGUCACCAAGAAGGAAGGCAUUGACUUUGCCAGGGAGUAUGGGUGUUUAUUUCUGGAAUGCAGUGCGAAAACCAAAGUGAACGUGGAGCAGUGCUUUGAGGAGCUCGUGCUGAAGAUAUUGGACACUCCGAGCCUGCUGGCGGAUGCGUCGUCGGGGGCGAAGAGGAACAUCUUCAAGCAGAAGGCGCCAGAGGCUGAUGCUGCGGCGAGCGGCUGCUGUUGA